ACUUACUGGUUUCGCUCAGACACCAACUGUGUAUCGCUGAUGUCGAGUAUCCAUAGUUUAUGGCGUGGACUACCAGGGGUAUCUAUAUCCUGCUUUGAUCCCCACGCUUUCUAGCCUCAGUGUCAAUAACUGCGUAGUAAGCUGCCUUCGCUAUCGGUGUUCUAUAUCAUAUCUAAGCAUUUCACCGCUACAUGAUAUAUUCCGCUUACUUCCACAGUAUUCAAGACUAGUAGUAUCAAUGGCAGUUUCCAAGUUAAGCUCGGAGAUUUCACCACUGACUUACAAGCCCACCUACGCUCCCUUUAAACCCACUGAAUCCGGAUAAAGCUUGCACCCUCCGUAUUACCGCGGCUGCUGGCACGGAGUUAGCCGGUGCUUAUUCAUAGAGUACCGUCAACCCAAUUAGAAAACUGGGGUUUCUUCUUCUAUAAAAGAAGUUUACAAUCCAGAGGACCUUCAUCCUUCACGCGGCAUGGCUGGUUCAGAGUUGCCUCCAUUGACCAAUAUUCCUCACUGCUGCCUCCCGUA
This 528-nucleotide ribosomal RNA is filed under the name uncultured Bacteroidota bacterium. RNAcentral describes it as "uncultured Bacteroidetes bacterium partial 16S ribosomal RNA". The record is from RNAcentral. Lineage: Bacteria; Pseudomonadati; Bacteroidota.